Molecule: ribosomal RNA, 431 nt
Filed under: uncultured bacterium
Lineage: Bacteria
Description: partial 16S ribosomal RNA
Rfam family: Bacterial small subunit ribosomal RNA
Source: RNAcentral
AACGAACGCUGGCGGCAGGCUUAACACAUGCAAGUCGAGCGCACCGCAAGGUGAGCGGCAGACGGGUGAGUACCGCGUGGGAAUCUACCCAACCCUACGGAAUAACCCAGGGAAACUUGGACUAAUACCGUAUACGCCCUUUUGGGGAAAGAUUUAUCGGGGAUGGAUGAGCCCGCGUUGGAUUAGCUAGUUGGUGGGGUAAAGGCCUACCAAGGCGACGAUCCAUAGCUGGUCUGAGAGGAUGAUCAGCCACAUUGGGACUGAGACACGGCCCAAACUCCUACGGGAGGCAGCAGUGGGGAAUAUUGGACAAUGGGCGCAAGCCUGAUCCAGCCAUGCCGCGUGAGUGAUGAAGGCCUUAGGGUUGUAAAGCUCUUUCAGUAGGGAAGAUAAUGACGGUACCUACAGAAGAAGCCCCGGCUAACUUCGUG